This 149-nucleotide microRNA precursor is filed under the name Drosophila guanche. The record is from RNAcentral. Lineage: Eukaryota; Metazoa; Arthropoda; Insecta; Diptera; Drosophilidae.
UGCGGGGAGGGAGAGGGAGAGAGAGAGAGAGGGCAACGCCAGGAAUUGGGGCAAACAAAGCGCAAUUGAUGCCAGUGGGCGUGGCACCUAACUGGCAGUAGGUCUGUCUCUUGCUCUCUCUCUCUCUUGCUCUCUCUCUCUCUCUCCAU